CGGCGGCGGGGGCGGUCGCGGGCGGCCGAGCCGCUCGGGCCCCGGCAGCGCUGCCCAUGGGGGAGUGCGGGGUGCCCCCCCAGGUCCAGCUCUUCCUCCGCGCCUGCGAGCAGGGCGAUUGCGAGACCGCUCGACGCCUCUUGGGGCUGCCCGGCGGCAGCGGCGACCCCGCGGCCCCCUCCUCCUCCUCGUGCGGCCCCGAGGAGACGGCGGCGGAGCCCCGCGGCGAAGCGUCGUCCCCGCCGAGCCCCGCCGUGCCCGUGGACUGCACGGACGAGGCCGGCAACACGGGGCUGCAGUUCGCCGCGGCGGGGGGGCACGAGCAGCUGGUGCGGUUCCUGCUGCGGAAGGGCGCCUCUGUGCAGAGCAGGAACCACUACGGAUGGAGCCCCCUCAUGCAAGCGGCCAGGUUUGGACAUCUAAGCGUGGCCCACAUCUUGCUGGAGAAUGGUGCUGAUCUCAAUGCACAGAACAAGUUAGGAGCCAGUGUCCUCACAAUGGCCUCCAGAGGCGGUCAUGUCAGCAUGGUGAAAUUGUUGCUGGAAUCUGGAGCUUUUGUGGACAAUUACGACCAUUUUAGCACAAAUGUACUUAACAGCAGCAGAGAUGACCUUCCCGAUAUCACUCCACUGAUGGCAGCUGCUCAGCAUGGACAUGAGGCAGUGGUACAUCUGUUGCUAGACUGGGGAGCUGAUUGUAACUACACUAUCAAGACCAUGGGCUGGAGCCCUUUAAUGCUGGCAGCCGUUAGUGGAAAGGUGAGCUUGGCACAGCAGCUCAUGGACAAAGGUGCCAAUCCUGAUCACUUGAACGUACUACAUAAAACACCUUUUGAAAUCUCUGUUGGCUUCAAACACAAAGACAUGAAGGACUAUUUGGAAUCUCUCACAACGAUUAGGCCUCAGGCAGAUGCAGAAAAGAGGCAACCUGAUAUCUUUCAUGCUUUGAAACUGGGAAACUUCCAGCUGGUUAAAGAGAUCAUUGAUGAAGAUCUGAGUCAAGUUAAUAUUACCACUGUUGAUGGUGCAUCUCCUUUAAUGAUUGCGGCUGUAACUGGACAGCUGCCCCUUGUUCAGCUCCUUGUUGAGAAAAAGGCUGAUAUUGAUAAGCAGGAUAAUGUUCAUGGCUGGACAGCACUAAUGCAGGCCACGUACCAUGGAAACAAAAAUGUUGUUAAGUAUUUGUUAAAUCAAGGAGCUGAUGUUAACCUUCGUGCGAGAAAUGGAUACACAGCUUUUGACCUGAUAAUGCUGCUGAAUGAUCCAGAUACAGAGCUUGUGAGGUUACUGGCAUCAGCAUGCAUGCAAGUAGAUAAAGACAAGAAUAAAGUGAACAACAAAUCAUCACUGCCUCGUUCCAGAAGUAGGCAAUCCUUAAAUGUCCCAAUGUUGCCAGAUGACAAAGGAGGCCUAAAGUCCUGGUGGAGCAGAAUGUCCAAUCGAUUCCGCAAGCUGAAGUUGACUCAGACAUUGCGCCAUGGAUUUCCUUCUAAUCAGUUUGUGCCUUUUCCGGAUGAGACUGAACCAUCAUUAAAUUCCACUAUAAAAGUAGCCUCACAGAGUGAUACAGACAUCUCUGGAAACCUUGAUGCUGCUACAGCUUGGAAUACAAAUAGCAAAGCUAGUGGUGCAAACACUGUGAAAGGAGAAAAGGAUGAUGAAUUAUUGACAACUAUGCUGAGGAGUAGUGCUCCAUUUACCAGGCUGCCCAGUGAUAAGCUGAAAGCAGUGAUACCACCUUUCUUACCACCCUCAAGCUUUGAGCUUUGGAAUUCUGACCGAACCCGACUCGGCAAAGAUGGCAAAGCUGAACAGAUGAGAACUGCCUGGCCACAGAGAGCAGUCAAGCACGAUUUUAACAGCAGUGGGAACUCUGAUAUAACAUCUGUUAGCAAAGGUACUAGACCAGUCAAAUUGCCAACAUUUGCAAGAAGACCAGCAUCUCCUUCAAAUUCCAAUAACUUCAACCAUUCUCCCCAUUCUUCUGGUGGAUCUAAUAACAUUGCAGGAAUUAACAGGCAUGGAGGAGAACUGCAUAACCGAUCAGGUGGCAGUGCAGAUAAUGUUUUGUCUCAGAUUGCAGCCCAAAGAAGAAAAGCAUCAGGCUUACCUGAACAGAAACCCAGCCAACAGCACAGUCCAGUCCAGUCAACUCCUUCAUCUACCACAUCAGAUUCGCAGCGUGCUCAGAUUGUUGGCAAUGGACAUGUUGUAAAGCAAAAAUUGGAGAUGAACAAAAGACCUCCAUCUGGGACUUCAUCUACGUCUAAAAGCACAUCACCAACUCUUACACCUUCUCCAUCACCUUCCCCAUCUCCUAAGGUUCAAAACGCAGAGUCUUCUGUCUCUUCUUCUCACAGACACGCCAAGAGCAAUGGCUCCAGCAGUGGUACUAUUACAGAGGAUGGCAACCAUUUGGUGGACCAUCAACAACUUGGCCCUAUACUGAGAGCUAGUGACAUAGAGAAUUAUGAAAGACGAAACCAUGUGAGAGUAAAAGAGGGCUCUGAAAACUUGGAAAAAGAUGAGCUGACUGGCCUCCUUAAAAAAUUGUCACUUGAGAAAUAUCAGCCUAUAUUUGAGGAACAGGAGGUGGAUAUGGAAGCUUUCCUCACACUUACUGAUGGUGAUUUGAAAGAGUUGGGAAUUAAAACGGAUGGAUCAAGGCAGCAAAUUUUGGCAGCUAUUUCUGAACUGAAUGCAGGAAAGGGUCGAGAGAGACAGAUUUUACAAGAAACUAUACACAACUUCCACUCUUCCUUUGAGAGCAGUGUUAGUAACACACGACCGCCAGGUCACUCCCAAUCGUAGUCAGCAUGUGUGGGAACUUCUGGAUUUCUCUUGGUAACAUCCCAGAGCUGAAGAGCCUCUUCUGUAGGUAUGACUAGGUGAGCAGAAGCUGUUUGGGAUUUGAUUACGUGGUGCAAAGAACUGGAAUUACUCAGGAACCAAAGAAGCAUAGAGGUGUAAUGUAUCUCCAAACAACUUGCUGACCUUAAGUGUCUUGAAGACAUCAAAGGACAAGAAUGGUGGCUCAGAGCUGGGGAGAACAUCCUUUUGUAAGAAUGGAGGCAACAGUUGCUCCUGUUGAGCUUUUGACAAGAGACUGCAAGAAGGCUACCAUCAGAGGUCUGGCUUUUGGGUUUUUGUGUAUGAGAGCUCCAUGAUACAGAUUUGGCUGUGAAACAGAAACAGAAGCACUAAGAGAGAAGAGGAAGACAACAUGUAGCUAAAAGAAAUUUCUGCACCAGCUCCUGGAUGCUCUUUAAAACCACAAGAAGCCGUUUCUUCUAAAAGGUAGCUACUGGAACAAAAGUGGUUUUUAUUUUUCAUGGUGAAGUCCAGCAUCUGACUAAGUAAAUCUCUACAAAUGAAAAUUUGAAAAGCUAGUCCUGACUACACUGACAUAGGAUUUUCUGCAGUAACGUGCUUAAAAUACAAAACCUACAGAAAGGCAAAGCAAAUAACAAAGAGGUUGCCUCUAUAGUUCAACCUAAGUGUUGAAUUGUUCAAGGCAUCAAUGGUCUGAAUUUAGGAAGAGCAAAGUCAGAAGAGCAGGAAGAAUGGGUGAAGAUGCAAGAAGAUGGAUGUUUCAUUCCAGUCUUGCCCAUAGAUGAAGAGCCCACAGGAGACCAACAUGGGCACAAGUCAAGAGGAACAAAAGCAUGGAAGAAGGCAAGAAGGUCACCACAAAUUGUGACCCCUUCUACAUGGGGAAAUACAUAAGCUGAAUAUGCCUCUUUUGAUUGGAUACCGAUAAAGUAGUCUAGAUUGAAAAUGUAAUGAUUUCAUGGGAAGAAAUAUAAAGGAGAAGUAAUGCUGCAUUCUUCAAUAACCAAAAUAUAUUUUAUCUAUUCAAUAUUAUGAGGUUAGAACAGCAGUAAAAGUAAAAACAAAAUACCUAUUUGUAAAAACAGCACUUUAUUUGAGUAAAUGCAUAAUCUGUCACCAAUAUUUAAACUGAAAGAAUGUUAAAAUAUUUUAUAUUGUUGACUAUUUUUUAAAAAUAAAACCAUUUACAUGA
Molecule: RNA transcript, 4023 nt
Organism: Haemorhous mexicanus (house finch)
Lineage: Eukaryota; Metazoa; Chordata; Aves; Passeriformes; Fringillidae
Gene: ANKS6
Gene name: ankyrin repeat and sterile alpha motif domain containing 6
Exons: 18
Source: RefSeq, a predicted model, not a curated record